This 253-nucleotide ribosomal RNA is filed under the name uncultured bacterium. RNAcentral describes it as "partial 16S ribosomal RNA". It matches the Rfam family "Bacterial small subunit ribosomal RNA", at positions 524 to 776 of the family's 1533-position model. The record is from RNAcentral.
UACGAAGGGGGCUAGCGUUGUUCGGAAUUACUGGGCGUAAAGCGCACGUAGGCGGCUUUGUAAGUUAGAGGUGAAAGCCUGGAGCUCAACUCCAGAAUUGCCUUUAAGACUGCAUCGCUUGAAUCCAGGAGAGGUGAGUGGAAUUCCGAGUGUAGAGGUGAAAUUCGUAGAUAUUCGGAAGAACACCAGUGGCGAAGGCGACUCGCUGGACAAGUAUUGACGCUGAGGUGCGAAAGCGUGGGGAGCAAACAGG